RNAcentral lists this ribosomal RNA (465 nucleotides) under uncultured bacterium. RNAcentral's name for it is "partial 16S ribosomal RNA". It matches the Rfam family "Bacterial small subunit ribosomal RNA", at positions 339 to 795 of the family's 1533-position model. The record is from RNAcentral.
CUACGGGGUGCACCAGUGAGGAAUCUUGCGCAAUGGGGGAAACCCUGACGCAGCCACGCCGCGUGGGUGAAGAAGGCCUUCGGGUCGUAAAGCCCUGUCAGGUGGGAAGAACCGCAUUGGAUUUAAUAAAUCCCUUGCCUGACGGUACCACCAAAGGAAGCACCGGCUAACUCCGUGCCAGCAGCCGCGGUAAUACGGAGGGUGCAAGCGUUGUUCGGAAUUACUGGGCGUAAAGAGUGUGUAGGCGGCUGGGUAAGUCAUAUGUGAAAGCCCUCGGCUUAACCGAGGAAGUGCAUGUGAUACUGCCUAGCUUGAGUCCUGGAGAGGGGUGUGGAAUUCCCGGUGUAGAGGUGAAAUUCGUAGAUAUCGGGAGGAACACCAGUGGCGAAGGCGACACCCUGGACGGAGACUGACGCUGAGACACGAAAGCGUGGGUAGCAAACAGGAUUAGAUACCCCCGUAGUC